CGGUGCAAGGUGUGGCCUUCACGCUUAUUGCCCAUCGCUUUCACAUUGACGUGUGCCUCUGCUGCUGCUGUAGUGUCCGCAUCUCUCAUCUUUUUUUUUGCGUUGCUUGUAAGGCACUUAUAUCCGCCUUUGAAGUGCGCCUACGUUUUGCAUGUGUGUGUGUAUGCAUUGUGUGUUUUGGUGCUCUUCGCUAAUAAUAAGUCUCAUCCCCUUCAUGCGCGACGUGCGUCUGAACACGCGUUCACGCACGUGCGUUUUGGCGUGCUCAGACUUCUGUCUCCGUUUUUCGCUGUUCGCUUUACAGUAUAUUGCACAUAUAUAUAUGUGCUAUUUAUAAUAAUAAUAUAUAUACACCUAUAUGUAUUUAUUUAUAUAUAUAUAUUUUUUUUGGUUUUGCUGAUCGUUUUAUCGUCGGAGCGAAACGCUGUGCAUCAACGAGCAGCGUCUGACAUCUACCGCGAUAGGACACAGGUGAGAGAAGCGAGAAAGAAUAUUCCCACAAGAGCCUCACCGGGUUCUACGAAGUUGUGCUUUCAAGUAGGAUGAACACGGCGACUGUGAUGAUGGCGCGCGGCCCGGUCACCCCACACCGCCGCCUUAGUAGAUGCACCAGCGCGCUCUGUUGUGCCAUCGCGAUCGCACUGUUUUGUGCUCUUUGUUGCGAAGUCAGCGCGCUGGAGGUGGGCAAGUUUUUUCCCGCCAAGACGCGCAUGAGCGCGAAGGAUCGUUACGAAUCUGUUCUGGCGCUGCAGUCUCUGCAGCGCGCGAUCGACGACCCUGAGCUGCAAAAGGAGGUAGAGUCCGCGCUCAAGGACACAACGAGGGGCUUCGACAUGUGCCGAUCGGCGCUGUACCGCUGCAACCGCGUGACCGGCGCUCUCGAGGAGGCGGUCAUCGAGGGCAUGCGAGACGGAACUGUGAAGUGGGACGAGUAUCCCAAGUCGGUGAAGCGGAUCCGCAUCACGGACUCGAGGCUGAGGCAGCCACUCGUGCUCUCCAGCUUACCUGCGAACCUUGAGGAAUUCGUGGCAACGAACGUGGAGUGGGAGUCCGACUCGAUUCUUCAGGCCCCAGGGAGUGGCGAGGGGGGAGUUGUGAAGGGGCCCUUGGCUCAUCUUCGCGUUUUGCAAUGUGACAACUGCGCUCUCGUGAAGGCAGAGGUGACGACGACGACACCCCAGCUGGAGUGGCUGCAGGUGUUGAGCCUUUCCGGCAAUCCAGACUUGUUCAUCGAUCUCCGCGAGCUGCCGCGCAACCUCCAAUCUCUGCAGCUCUCGUACACACAGCUGGCUCACUCCACGGUCAGGGAGGUAUUGGAGACUGCGCCGGCGUUUCUCUCGCUGCUGAAUAUCAGCUUCACCGGUGUUGCUCUGACCCUCGACAUGCUGCCGUCUGCACGGAAUCAGCUGAAGGCGUUGGAUGUGUCCGGCCUGGAAAGCAACAACCCGGGGUCACCUCUGUCUCUCUCUCAGCUGCAAAGCGCGUGUGGCGAAAGUGGCUUCAGCCUCGCAGAACUGUACCUCACCAGGUGCAGCCUGACGGGCACCCUCCCUCACCUUCGUAACUGCACGAAGCUGAAGGUGAUGGAUGUGUCGCACAACCUCCUCGAUGGCGCCGUGUUCGCUCAACUCCCCGAGAACAUAGAGUUGCUGCGUCUCAACAACAAUGCGAUACAGGGUGGCCUGCGCACCAGCGAACUCCCGCGCACUCUGCGCUCCCUUGAUCUUUCUGAAAACCAUUUCACGGGUGAGGUCGACCUCUCGGCACUGCCGCCGCAGCUGCAGUACCUCAACAUUGGCCACAAUCACUUCAGCGGCCAGGUGAACCUCACGCAGCUACCCGAGUCUGUCAAGUUUGUGUACAUGGAGUAUAACAACUUCACCGGCGCGGCUGACCUCGUCGACCUCCCACUCGGCAUCCGUUUUAUCAUGGUCCACCACAACAACUGGGACUACCUCAUGCCCGCCCCGUGAGAUGGGCCAGCACCAUUUAAGGCGAAAAAGCCGGCGGAAGGGUGCGGCGUUCUUAUUGUGGUGCUCGUGGUGGCAGCCUCAGCUCUCCGUCUUGCUCACCCUCUGCAUCUGAGCCGUUCACCUCCGUCUUCGUCUCUCUCUUUCUCCCCAUGCCAGUGCGCACGUACGUAUCUGCUUUUGGUGGUGAUUAAGCGCGGGGGUGGCGUAGCCAGGCGGUGGCGGCAGGGUUGGGGGGCAUCAAGUCAACAUUGUGCCUGGUUUAUGAGCAGCGAGCACCUUUGGGCUGUAGCACGUGUUGAGGAGAGUAAUAUCCAGCGCAUUCUUGUGUGACUAUCAUUUCGUGCGCCAUGUUACCUUCUCCUGCUCGCCCUUUUUUUUCCUAACACCAUUCGGUUACUUUUUUUCUGCUGCUUUUAGGCGUCGCCGCGCGGGAGAGGCAAGACUUGAAUGCAUGCUGCAUGUUAAAUAUUAUGGCAAACAACGGGGCCGACUCCGCACAGGCUCACACAAUGGAGCGCAGCACUAUCACCGCUGGCGUGCAUCUGCCUACAUGUUUGUCUAUGGUCGGAUGCGGCUGUGCAUUUCACUUUCUAUUCUGACUAGAAAAAUAAUGCCCUUGAUGCUGCCGGCCACCCCACCGCGGGUGCCUGGGUGCGGCACCCAACGCUGUGCGGAAGCCAAGCGCCCACACCCAGCGCUUCGUGUGGUGGGCCUCGGACUCUUGGUGUCGGCGGACAGGUCUGGGCUGGCGGUGUGCCGAAGAGACGUGCGGCCUUGAUGGUCGCGUUGGGGCCCGCUCGCUACGAAUCGUGCCGACGGCUCAACACGUGUGCGCAACGGCGUGCAGCGGGCGCGAGUCUCUGUGCGGCGCCGGUGGCGCCGCACGUAUCCGAGGAAGGACGAGAAUGCAGGGCGCAUGACCCGACUCGACGGCAGACGGCUCGUGCUGGACGACGAGGAUUUAGCGGUGGCGCAGCAGAGGCAGGUGGGCUGCGGCUGCGUGCGCGUAUUCGCUGAGCUGCUCGCGGUACUAUGGCAUGUAAUCAAGAAAAGGGGUCUGCCGUUUUGUGUACUGACGUAAUGCUUGGAUUUUGGUGGAUUAUGGCUGCAGCGGUGAGCGCUGGUGGUCGUGCUGGACGUACUGCAUAUACGCAGAGGUUCUGGAUUGCUGUAGUACAUCGACCGGCUCUGUGUUGUACAUGUAGGGAAUGAGCUAGACGAUGCCUGCCGCGGUGAAAGUGUGCACCGCUUCUGGGGGUUCUGUGCACUGCCAGAGCAUCUAUUCGUGUACGCAUGUCUGCACCCUCGUCCCUCUUUGGUGGUUUUUGUUCAUGUACGCCGUUACCCACUUUUUUUGUUCGGUUUCCGGAGGCUGCAGGGAGACCUUGAUUCUGUGUUUGUCGGGCGGUGAGCGACGAGUGCUGCCGCGACCCAAGAG
Molecule: unclassified non-coding RNA, 3411 nt
Filed under: Leishmania donovani
Lineage: Eukaryota; Euglenozoa; Kinetoplastea; Trypanosomatida; Trypanosomatidae
Description: gene:LdHU3.29.3290(CDS-product:Leucine_Rich_Repea t/Leucine_rich_repeat_putative)
Source: RNAcentral